This 497-nucleotide ribosomal RNA is filed under the name uncultured bacterium. RNAcentral describes it as "partial 16S ribosomal RNA". It matches the Rfam family "Bacterial small subunit ribosomal RNA", at positions 28 to 507 of the family's 1533-position model. The record is from RNAcentral.
GAUGAACGCUGGCGGCGUGCCUAAUACAUGCCAGUCGAGCGAACAGACGAGGAGCUUGCUCCUCUGACGUUAGCGGCGGAGGGGUGAGUAACACGUGGAUAACCUACCUAUAAGACUGGGAUAACUUCGGGAAACCGGAGCUAAUACCGGAUAAUAUAUUGAACCGCAUGGUUCAAUAGUGAAAGACGGUUUUGCUGUCACUUAUAGAUGGAUCCGCGCCGCAUUAGCUAGUUGGUAAGGUAACGGCUUACCAAGGCAACGAUGCGUAGCCGACCUGAGAGGGUGAUCGGCCACACUGGAACUGAGACACGGUCCAGACUCCUGCGGGAGGCAGCAGUAGGAAAUCGUCCGCAAUGGGCGAAAGCCUGACGGAGCAAGGCCGCGUGAGUGAUGAAGGUCUUCCGAUCGUAAAACUCUGUUAUUAGGGAAGAACAAAUGUGUAAGUAACUAUGCACGUCUUGACGGUACCUAAUCAGAAAGCCACGGCUAACUACGUG